Molecule: ribosomal RNA, 444 nt
Filed under: uncultured soil bacterium
Lineage: Bacteria
Description: bacterial SSU rRNA
Rfam family: Bacterial small subunit ribosomal RNA
Source: RNAcentral
AGAACGAACGCUGGCGGCAGGCCUAAUACAUGCAAGUCGAACGCCGUAGCAAUACGGAGUGGCAGACGGGUGAGUAGCGCGUGGGAACCUUCCUAAUGGUACGGAAUAGCCCGGGGAAACCCGGAGUAAUACCGUAUAAGCCCGUAAGGGGAAAGAUUUAUCGCCAUUAGAUGGGCCCGCGUCGGAUUAGCUAGUUGGUAGGGUAACGGCCUACCAAGGCUACGAUCCGUAGCUGGUCUGAGAGGAUGAUCAGCCACACUGGGACUGAGACACGGCCCAGACUCCUACGGGAGGCAGCAGUAGGGAAUAUUGGACAAUGGGCGAAAGCCUGAUCCAGCCAUGCCGCGUGAGUGAUGAAGGCUUCGGGUUGUAAAGCUCUUUUGGCGGGACGAUAAAUGACGGUACCCGCAGAAUAAAGCCCGGCUAACUCGUGCCAGCAGCCGC